CCUACGGGAGGCAGCAGUGAGGAAUAUUGGUCAAUGGACGAGAGUCUGAACCAGCCAAGUAGCGUGAAGGAUGACUGCCCUAUGGGUUGUAAACUUCUUUUAUAAAGGAAUAAAACGAGGCACGUGUGCCUUUUUGCAUGUACUUUAUGAAUAAGGAUCGGCUAACUCCGUGCCAGCAGCCGCGGUAAUACGGAGGAUCCGAGCGUUAUCCGGAUUUAUUGGGUUUAAAGGGAGCGUAGAUGGGUUGUUAAGUCAGGUGUGAAAGUUUGCGGCUCAACCGUAAAAUUGCAAUUGAUACUGGCAGUCUUGAGUACAGUUGAGGUAGGCGGAAUUCGUGGUGUAGCGGUGAAAUGCUUAGAUAUCACGAAGAACCCCGAUUGCGAAGGCAGCUUACUAAACUGUGACUGACAUUGAUGCUCGAAAGUGUGGGUAUCGAACAGGAUUAGAUACCCUGGUAGUC
Molecule: ribosomal RNA, 460 nt
Filed under: uncultured bacterium
Lineage: Bacteria
Description: partial 16S ribosomal RNA
Rfam family: Bacterial small subunit ribosomal RNA
Source: RNAcentral